Molecule: non-coding RNA, 46 nt
Organism: Schistosoma mattheei
Lineage: Eukaryota; Metazoa; Platyhelminthes; Trematoda; Strigeidida; Schistosomatidae
Source: Rfam
UCACUGUUGAGGAGUCCCACCAUAGGACGAAAUGGCCAUCCAGUGA